RNAcentral lists this small RNA (309 nucleotides) under Vigna angularis var. angularis. RNAcentral describes it as "Non-protein coding transcript". Lineage: Eukaryota; Viridiplantae; Streptophyta; Magnoliopsida; Fabales; Fabaceae. The record is from RNAcentral.
UGAUUUUUGAGCCCUCAUUUUUCCGUCUAUAAGGAAAAUUAACCAGUUCAAAAUUUUUGGAUUUUUGCCGGACUUUAUAUAUGGAGCCUGUCUGCUCUAAUAAUUAAGUUCAUAGUAAAAAGCUUCUCUUAAAUCUUUCCAAAUGAUUCCGCAUAAUGCAAGAGCAGAAGCAGAGUGGCCCCUUGUGGAGAACAGCUAAUUUUGUAUUAGAAAGAUCCUCUACCAAAUCGAAGAAGCUUGGCAACCCAGAAAAGCAAGAAGAACAACAAAAAAGGGAGUCUUAAAGUCCAAGUGACACUAUGAUGGAAG